CUGCAAUGAAGAUGAUGAUGCAUUGCUGUGGGUGACGAAAAUCUCAAGAUGAAGAUUUAGAGGGAGAGGAUAACAUGGGCAAAGAUUGGGAAGCACAAAUAGGCAAUGAAAACCUGGAUAAUGUUCAAGUUGAUGAUGGAGCUGGCUCGUGCCCAUAAGUGUGGUUUUUGUUUUUUAAUGGAAAUGAGAAUCAACCCAACUAGAGCUAAGGAAAGAAACAAUUACUGGAAGAUGAUGCACAAUUAUAUGGGUUCAGAUGCAACAUCAGUGGUGAUACUUCCUAUUUUCAUUUUUGAGCCAAUGGUGAUGCUUUAGAAAAUGAUGAGUAAUGGAGUAUUCCCACUUGCUAGAUCAGGCAGAUAAAUGUGAAGAUCCUUACAUGCGGCUUAUGUAUGAUUCAUAUGAAAUCAUUGAAAAGUAGUACAUGGUUUACUCUUUUGUCAGCUCGUUAUGGUACAACUCUCAACCAACCAUUGCAAAGCAAAGGUUAGUAUGGUUUUCUUUCUCUUCCUUGCACAUAAACUUUAACAUUCUAAUGCUUGACUCGCGAGGAGGAGCAGUGAGGAAAUUCGAGAAACCCAAAGUUGAACGC
Molecule: long non-coding RNA, 592 nt
Organism: Nelumbo nucifera (sacred lotus)
Lineage: Eukaryota; Viridiplantae; Streptophyta; Magnoliopsida; Proteales; Nelumbonaceae
Source: RefSeq, a predicted model, not a curated record